Molecule: ribosomal RNA, 497 nt
Filed under: uncultured bacterium
Lineage: Bacteria
Description: partial 16S ribosomal RNA
Rfam family: Bacterial small subunit ribosomal RNA
Source: RNAcentral
GAUGAACGCUGGCGGCGUGCCUAAUACAUGCAAGUCGAGCGGACGGACGAGGAGCUUGCUUCUCUGUUGUUAGCGGCGGACGGGAGAGUAACACGUGGAUAACCUACCUAUAAGACUGGGAUAACUUCGGGAAACCGUAGCUAAUACCGGAUAAUAUCUUGCUCCGCAUGGUUGAAAAGUGAAAGACGGUGUUUCUGUCACUUAUAGAUGGAUCCCCGCUGUUUUAGGUGGUUGGUAAGGUAAAGGCCUUCCAAGGGAAGGAUGCGUAGCCGACCUGAGGGGCUGAUAGGCCGCACUGGAACGGGACCACGCUCCAUGCGCCUACGGGAGGCCGCAGUAGCGAAUCUUCGGCAAUGGGCGAAAACCUGACGGAGCAGCGCGGCGUGAGUGGUGGAGGUCUUCGGAGCGUAAAGCUCUGUUAUUGGUGAUAAACAUAUGUGUAAGUAACUGUGCACAUCUUGACGGUACCGAAUCAGAAAGCAACGGCUAACUACGUG